ACAUGCAAGUCGAACGGUGAAGGGACCAGCUUGCUGGUUCUGGAUGAGUGGCGAACGGGUGAGUAACACGUGAGUAACCUGCCCCCUUCUUCUGGAUAACCGCAUGAAAGUGUGGCUAAUACGGGAUAUUCUGGGUCUGUCGCAUGAUGGGCCCGGGAAAGAUGCGCCUUUGGGUGUUUUUGGUGGGGGAUGGGCUCGCGGCCUAUCAGCUUGUUGGUGGGGUGAUGGCCUACCAAGGCGGUGACGGGUAGCCGGCCUGAGAGGGUGGACGGUCACACUGGGACUGAGACACGGCCCAGACUCCUACGGGAGGCAGCAGUGGGGAAUAUUGCACAAUGGGCGCAAGCCCGAUGCAGCGACGCCGCGUGAGGGAUGGAGGCCUUCGGGUUGUAAACCUCUUUCGCCAGUGAAGCAGGCCUGCUCCUUGUGGGUGGGUUGACGGUAGCUGGAUAAGAAGCGCCGGCUAACUACGUGCCAGCAGCCGCGGUAAUACGUAGGGCGCAAGCGUUGUCCGGAAUUAUUGGGCGUAAAGAGCUCGUAGGCGGCUGGUCGCGUCUGUCGUGAAAUCCUCUGGCUUAACUGGGGGCUUGCGGUGGGUACGGGCCGGCUUGAGUGCGGUAGGGGAGACUGGAACUCCUGGUGUAGCGGUGGAAUGCGCAGAUAUCAGGAAGAACACCGGUGGCGAAGGCGGGUCUCUGGGCCGUUACUGACGCUGAGGAGCGAAAGCGUGGGGAGCGAACAGGAUUAGAUACCCUGGUAGUCCACGCCGUAAACGUUGGGCACUAGGUGUGGGGGGCCUUUUCCGGGUCUUCCG
RNAcentral lists this ribosomal RNA (814 nucleotides) under uncultured Actinomyces sp. Its description in RNAcentral is "bacterial SSU rRNA". It matches the Rfam family "Bacterial small subunit ribosomal RNA", at positions 53 to 843 of the family's 1533-position model. Lineage: Bacteria; Bacillati; Actinomycetota; Actinomycetes; Actinomycetales; Actinomycetaceae. The record is from RNAcentral.